GCCGGGAUGGCGGAAUUGGUAGACGCAGCGGACUUAAAAUCCGCUGAAGUAUUAAGCUUCGUGCGGGUUCAAGUCCCGCUCCCGGCA
This 87-nucleotide transfer RNA is filed under the name bacterium. RNAcentral describes it as "tRNA-Leu". It matches the Rfam family "tRNA". Rfam says of the family: Transfer RNA (tRNA) molecules are approximately 80 nucleotides in length. Their secondary structure includes four short double-helical elements and three loops (D, anti-codon, and T loops). RNAcentral also lists the same sequence under 1 other name. The record is from RNAcentral.